This 194-nucleotide ribosomal RNA is filed under the name uncultured bacterium. RNAcentral describes it as "partial 16S ribosomal RNA". It matches the Rfam family "Bacterial small subunit ribosomal RNA", at positions 338 to 528 of the family's 1533-position model. The record is from RNAcentral.
AUUACGGGAGGCAGCAGUGGGGAAUAUUGGUCAAUGGACGCAAGUCUGAACCAGCCAAGUCGCGUGAAGGAUGAAGGUAUUAUGUAUUGUAAACUUCUUUUAUCAGGGAAUAAUGACCGCUACGUGUAGCGGGAGGGAAUGUACCUGAUGAAUAAGCAUCGGCUAACUCCGUGCCAGCAGCCGCGGUAAUAAUH